AUGCAAGUCGAGCGAUGAACCACUUCGGUGGGGAUUAUUGGCGAACGGGUGAGUAACACGUGGGCAAUCUGCCCUGCACUCUGGGACAAGCCCUGGAAACGGGGUCUAAUACCGGAUAUGACCCUCGCAGGCAUCUGUGAGGGUGUAAAGCUCCGGCGGUGCAGGAUGAGCCCGCGGCCUAUCAGCUUGUUGGUGAGGUAACGGCUCACCAAGGCGACGACGGGUAGCCGGCCUGAGAGGGCGACCGGCCACACUGGGACUGAGACACGGCCCAGACUCCUACGGGAGGCAGCAGUGGGGAAUAUUGCACAAUGGGCGAAAGCCUGAUGCAGCGACGCCGCGUGAGGGAUGACGGCCUUCGGGUUGUAAACCUCUUUCAGCAGGGAAGAAGCGAAAGUGACGGUACCUGCAGAAGAAGCGCCGGCUAACUACGUGCCAGCAGCCGCGGUAAUACGUAGGGCGCAAGCGUUGUCCGGAAUUAUUGGGCGUAAAGAGCUCGUAGGCGGCUUGUCGCGUCGGUUGUGAAAGCCCGGGGCUUAACCCCGGGUCUGCAGUCGAUACGGGCAGGCUAGAGUUCGGUAGGGGAGAUCGGAAUUCCUGGUGUAGCGGUGAAAUGCGCAGAUAUCAGGAGGAACACCGGUGGCGAAGGCGGAUCUCUGGGCCGAUACUGACGCUGAGGAGCGAAAGCGUGGGGAGCGAACAGGAUUAGAUACCCUGGUAGUCCACGCCGUAAACGGUGGGCACUAGGUGUGGGCGACAUUCCACGUCGUCCGUGCCGCAGCUAACGCAUUAAGUGCCCCGCCUGGGGAGUACGGCCGCAAGGCUAAAACUCAAAGGAUUGACGGGGG
This 848-nucleotide ribosomal RNA is filed under the name Streptomyces hyderabadensis. RNAcentral's name for it is "bacterial SSU rRNA". It matches the Rfam family "Bacterial small subunit ribosomal RNA", at positions 55 to 919 of the family's 1533-position model. Lineage: Bacteria; Bacillati; Actinomycetota; Actinomycetes; Kitasatosporales; Streptomycetaceae. The record is from RNAcentral.